Pseudopodoces humilis (Tibetan ground-tit) is the source of this 512-nucleotide long non-coding RNA. RefSeq lists it as uncharacterized. The record is from RefSeq and is a predicted model, not a curated record. NCBI's taxonomy places the organism in Eukaryota, Metazoa, Chordata, Aves, Passeriformes, Paridae.
GGCCGGGGCGGCACCGGCGGGGCGGCGGCACCGGCGCUGGGCCAAGUUUGGCCCAGCCGAGCCGCGCAGGACGCGGCUGGCUCCCGUCCAGGUGGGACCCUGCCAGCGCUGAUGGAUGCCCGAGGUGCUGCUGUGCCACCCUGCUCCUGGCUAACCAGCACCAGUUCUUCAGUGGCAAGCUUUAUGUCCUUCUCCAGUAGCUAAAGCUGCCAGUUGAAGAACUGUUGAAUGUAGCCACUCUCUUCUCAUCACUGGGACACUGGAUGCCAGCCAGAGCCCUGAGCGACCAGGAUGAGCCACUCUGCAGUGUCCUGUGGUUGGAAGGCUGAGGAUGAGUUCAACCAGGAUGAAGAAAGUCUCCUCGAAGCUUCCAGACAGAGCCUUGGCUGGAGGAUUGCCAAGCAGCCGUACCAGCAGGGCUGUCAAACUGUGUCCCUCCCUCAGUGGGGUGGCACUGAGCUGGGAGGUGACUAAAGGAGACUGAGAGAAGCAUUAAACGUUGUUUUGCUCAA